Molecule: ribosomal RNA, 298 nt
Filed under: uncultured bacterium
Lineage: Bacteria
Description: partial 16S ribosomal RNA
Rfam family: Bacterial small subunit ribosomal RNA
Source: RNAcentral
CUAUGCGCCUUGCCAGCCCGCUCAGGUGUGCCAGCAGCCGCGGUAAUACGUAGGGAGCGAGCGUUGUCCGGAAUUACUGGGUGUAAAGGGAGCGUAGGCGGGGAUGCAAGUUGGGUGUCAAAACUACCGGCUCAACUGGUAGUCGCACUCAAAACUGCAGCUCUUGAGUGAAGUAGAGGCAGGCGGAAUUCCUAGUGUAGCGGUGAAAUGCGUAGAUAUUAGGAGGAACACCAGUGGCGAAGGCGGCCUGCUGGACGACAACUGACGGUGAGGCGCGAAAGCGUGGGGAGCAAAUAGG